RNAcentral lists this ribosomal RNA (301 nucleotides) under uncultured bacterium. Its description in RNAcentral is "partial 16S ribosomal RNA". It matches the Rfam family "Bacterial small subunit ribosomal RNA", at positions 509 to 807 of the family's 1533-position model. The record is from RNAcentral.
CAGCCGCCGCGGGAAUACGUAGGUGGCAAGCGUUGUCCGGAAUUAUUGGGCGUAAAGCGCGCGCAGGUGGUUUAAUAAGUCUGAUGUGAAAGCCCACGGCUCAACCGUGGAGGGUCAUUGGAAACUGUUAAACUUGAGUGCAGGAGAGAAAAGUGGAAUUCCUAGUGUAGCGGUGAAAUGCGUAGAGAUUAGGAGGAACACCAGUGGCGAAGGCGGCUUUUUGGCCUGUAACUGACGCUGAGGCGCGAAAGCGUGGGGAGCAAACAGGAUUAGAGACCCCGGUAGUCCCUGUCUCUUAUAC